Molecule: non-coding RNA, 725 nt
Organism: Lepisosteus oculatus (spotted gar)
Lineage: Eukaryota; Metazoa; Chordata; Actinopteri; Semionotiformes; Lepisosteidae
Source: RefSeq, a predicted model, not a curated record
CUUACUGUCCAAAUAAUGCUCCAAAUACAUCCCAGCCGCCAUCUUGACAAGCUGCAAACAAAAUAAAGGCGCUUCCGGUCCGGCCGGAUAUAGAGCCGAGAGAGAGGGUUGUGGGUGAGGUGGUUGAAAUCUUUUUUUCUUCCCCCUCCUCCUCUCGACGUUAAUUUUUAGGUUAUUUUACAGCGGACCAGAAUAUCUUGAAUAUUUUAUUUUGCCUGUUACAUCGCAUUUUCACGCAGAACUAAAAAUGUUGUUGAAAACAAAUAUUGAGGACGGCUUUAAUUUUUAUGGAAAUUGCUCAUUGCUGCCUACCUCCUGCAGUUCGGCUCCGAUCCACAAACGUGACGCUACUAACUGCACAGUACCGGUGAUGAGUAUUUACAGAAGUUCAUUGCACAAAAUCAACGAUCUUUUGUCCUCGUUUUCAAUCAGACAUGGCCGCCGCGGUGAAAGGGCUCUAUUCCCUCAGCCUAUGCUGGGAGCACGUGGACGGAAGUCGCCGCAGCCAUUGGCGCGGGAGAAAAUUCAAAAAAUGUCCCGGCUGCCGACUAACCGCUGUUAGCCGACUAGCCGCUGCCUGGCCUGGAGGUUUACAGGCGUCUUAUGCGAGUCUCAGGGAGCGAAGCCGAGCAGUUAGGGGGAAGCGAGUGAAUAUUUGCCGUUUUGAAAGAAACUCUCUGGGGCCCCAGAGAAAAUUACAGAAACCUCAAUAAGAAAACCGAAGC